UAUUGGACAAUGGGCGAAAGCCUGAUCCAGCCAUGCCGCGUGUGUGAAGAAGGUCUUCGGAUUGUAAAGCACUUUAAGUUGGGAGGAAGGGCAUUAACCUAAUACGUUAGUGUUUUGACGUUACCGACAGAAUAAGCACCGGCUAACUCUGUGCCAGCAGCCGCGGUAAUACAGAGGGUGCAAGCGUUAAUCGGAAUUACUGGGCGUAAAGCGCGCGUAGGUGGUUUGUUAAGUUGGAUGUGAAAUCCCCGGGCUCAACCUGGGAACUGCAUUCAAAACUGACUGACUAGAGUAUGGUAGAGGGUGGUGGAAUUUCCUGUGUAGCGGUGAAAUGCGUAGAUAUAGGAAGGAACACCAGUGGCGAAGGCGACCACCUGGAUUAAUACUGACACUGAGUGCGAA
Molecule: ribosomal RNA, 402 nt
Filed under: uncultured bacterium
Lineage: Bacteria
Description: bacterial SSU rRNA
Rfam family: Bacterial small subunit ribosomal RNA
Source: RNAcentral